CACUGUGAACGGUGGAUCACUUGGCUCGUACGUCGAUGAAAAACGAGGCGAGACUCGAAAGUUUAUGUGAAUUGCAGCCACGUUGAACAUAGAAAUUUUGAACGCACAUUGCGGUGUUGAGUUGACUCGACGCCGCGUCUGUCUGAGGGUCG
Ribosomal RNA from Trichinella papuae, 152 nucleotides. It matches the Rfam family "5.8S ribosomal RNA". From Rfam's summary of the family: 5.8S ribosomal RNA (5.8S rRNA) is a component of the large subunit of the eukaryotic ribosome. It is transcribed by RNA polymerase I as part of the 45S precursor that also contains 18S and 28S rRNA. The record is from Rfam. Lineage: Eukaryota; Metazoa; Nematoda; Enoplea; Trichinellida; Trichinellidae.